AGAACGUCAAUUUGCGAAUAACGCAAUACAAUACAACUUCAGCAAACGGAUCUCUGGGCUCUCGCAUCGAUGAAGAACGCAGCGAAAUGCGAUAAGUAAUGUGAAUUGCAGAAUUCAGUGAAUCAUCGAAUCUUUGAACGCACCUUGCGCUCCCUGGUAUUCCGGGGAGCACGCCUGUNUGAGUGUCAUGGUAUUCUCAACCUUCAUAAUUUUUGUUUUCAAAGGUUAUUGAAGGCUUGGACUUGGAGGUUUGUGCUGGCUCUCUUAAUUGAAGUCGGCUCCUCUUAAAUGUAUUAGCGUGAACGUUUACGGAUCGCUAUCAGUGUGAUAAUUAUCUGCGCUGUUAGUGUUGAAGUAUCAUUUGGUGUCUCGCUUCUAACCGUCCUUUUGCAAGGACAAAAUUUACUUUGACAUCUGACCUCAAAUCAGGCGGGACUACCCGCUGAACUUAAGCAUAUCAAUAAGCGGAGGA
Molecule: ribosomal RNA, 472 nt
Filed under: uncultured fungus
Lineage: Eukaryota; Fungi
Description: eukaryotic LSU rRNA
Rfam family: 5.8S ribosomal RNA (bases 35-188)
Source: RNAcentral